AAGAAAAAUAGACCUUGGCAUCUCAAAGGACGUCAGCAGAGCUGGCCAGCGGGCACACGGCCAUCAGCCCUCACUACGGUUGACUCCAGAUGAGCCAUCUGAGGUCAACCUGAGACAGAGGGCUGUAAAAAGAAUGAGCAACAGCUGGAUGAACUGAGAAUGAGCGAUUUCCAAGAUACAUUAUUAAGUGAAAAAGCAAACUGAGUAUAAGAAAGGGGAUCGGGAAAACAUUUGUGUACCUGCUAAUCCUACAAAAGAAACAUAGGAAGGAAACGCGGACACCUGGCCAGUGCCCUCCAAGUGUCGAGGUCACGAAAGCCAGGGAACGGCUGCGCCCGUCACAGCCUAGAAGGCCGAGGAGACCAGGCAUGGCGAGGGCUCUGAAGCGAGUCCCGCACAGAACAAGGACGAGAUGGGGAAGCGGACGGGAUGCUAAGGGCUGCAGGUGACUCGCAGCACCACGCACAUUCCCGCCUCUGACAGCUGUGCCAGGGGAACACGUGAGGGGCUGGAUGGGGAAGAGGGUCCUGCCACGCGCGAGGGAGAGGGGCUCCCACUACGCAGAACGCUGAGCCCGGGGCAGAGAAAAGGCCAGGGGGCUCACUGCAUCACCGCCCAGCACUUUCUAACUCUGAGAAACCACCUCUGGCCCCCAGGGAAGCCUAGGGAGGAACAGCGCCCGAGCCCCCACGACGCGCACUCACCUGCGGAGGAGGGACUGCUGCAGGCUCCGGCAGGUGCUGAGCGACUCGCCGGUGAACAGGUGGCACACGACCACGUGCAGACAGCGCGCCAUGAAGGCCAGCACGGCCUCGGGCUGUAGGGUGCCACUGCGGGACACCAGGCACAGGCGCUGCAACGCAGAGCACUGGCUCAGCGCCUGGAAGAACUGGGCGUUGGCGCUGAAGUAGGGCUGCUCCAGCCUGCAGGGAGAGAGGACGGACAGCGUGAGAUCGCGGAGAUGGACGCACGCUGAGCGGGGCUCCUGGUCCAGGGCCCAGACUGGCUGCCCCCAGGCCCAUCCACACCACAGCCCCCAGGGGUGCCGGGUGAGGACUCAGACCCCUGGGGUCUCCCUUGGUGAUCCUGAUCUGGGGGGAGACCCUGCAGGCCCGACGCAACCAGAUGCCCACGGACCCAGCCAAGUUGCUUCGUUCGCCGCUCUGACUGCUCGGUGCGCCUACAGACCCAGAAGAGCGCGUGGCAAUUGAAUCGGUCUCCCAAAAGAUCUGUUGCAUUCCUAAUCCUUGGUACCUGCACACAUGGCCUUAUUUGGAAGCAGGGUCUUUGCAGACUAAGAUGAAGUCACGUGGGACUGGGGUGGGUCCAGUGACCGGUUCCUUAGACGCAUUGUGACGGCACAGCAACACAGGAACACGCAGGGAGCUCGGGGCUGGAGUGACGCGUCCAUAAGCCAAGGAACACCUCGCACUGCCAGCAGCCGCCGGAAGCUAGGGGACAGGCCUGGAACAGGCCCCCACCCAGAGCUUCCAGAAGGAACCAUCCUGCCGACACCUUGACCGGGGACUUCCGACCUCUUAACUAUGAGAGGGUGACUGUCUGUUGUUUUAAGCCACCCGGCUGGUGGUCAUUUGUCAGGGCAGCCCCAGAACACUAGCACAGAAGCCAGGGAGAGGAAGCUGGAGCAUGAACAGAGCACGGAGAUCGUUUCGCAAUAAAUCACACAGAAAGACCAAGACGGCCCCAUGGACAGAGGUCAAAGUGGAUCCUGUUUACCCAAAAUCCUCCCACAAGAAAACACAAGAAAACCUAUUAACAAGGGUUAUCCCUGGAGAUGAGCACCAGACCCGGGAACCGUCCUCAUUUUAUAGCACUCAGCGGCACCUCGGUCCUUCUCAGACAGGCACGUGCCUCACUUGACGCUUCUAAAACCAUUCUGACUGCUGCGCGGAGUCCCGGUUACCCGGCCAGAGCCGCUUCAAGGCUGGCGGCACGAGCGGGAGAGGCCAGGCAGAGAUUUCCACCCAAAGCAGGCAGAAGGCACACAAGCACCGCAGCGGGCGGGAGAAGGGCUUCACGGAUGAUGGAGAUCUGGGCACGUGUGCAGGAAACUGCAGUUCAGGGGCUACGUCUGAACCCGAUGGCUGAAAAGGAGGACGCUUCAAAGGGUGGCCACUGGGCACCCAGCAAGGCUCUCUCUCAACGAGCCACGAAGGCCUCUGAUGGACAUCGUGCCAGCCACGUGGGGCCUCAGCCCUCCGAGCAAGCCGGCCGGCCCGGGAGAACAGCGCUCUGCCAGGCUGCGCCCGAGCUGUGGAAACAGUGCCUCAGGUCGGGGUGGCACUGUCCCCUGAGGCUGGCCACCCCCAAGGCCCAGGCACCGCACAAAUCGCUCCCUGCACAAACACGGCGUCUUGCCCGGGACUGUGGGUGUCUCUGAGCCUCAGCUCUGCCCACGGGACAGCCACUGGCCCUCCAGGUGGGCCGGGGCAGCUGGCAAGACCCCCAUCUCCGUGCGAGACCCACAGGGAACCCCGAGAGGCCUGUCUCUCCCCAUAAACUGACGAGGCCGAGUGGGUGACUUCCUGGGACGCCCCUGAGAGGCUCGUCUGCAGCUGUAGAAUCUCAUCAUCAAAGGAGAGAAGCUUCUGGGGUGAGUGGAACGGCCCUCCCCCAUCCCCGAGAGGCGGUGGGCCUGCAGUGAGGACAGAGUCACCACCACCACCGCCCCCCCCAGGCGGAAGGAGAGCCCAAGCGCUCUGGACGCAGCGACGUCCCAGGUGAGGCUGACCUGGACGAGGGUGAGGGGCCGUCCACAGGCCCAAACGAGAGCCACGUGAGCCUCGGACACAGCCUCCACAGCCCUGACACCUGGGGAUGCUGACAAGUCACAGGACGGGUGAGGGGCUUUAAAAUCAAGUCUGCG
Long non-coding RNA from Lagenorhynchus albirostris (white-beaked dolphin), 2887 nucleotides. RefSeq lists it as uncharacterized. The record is from RefSeq and is a predicted model, not a curated record. NCBI's taxonomy places the organism in Eukaryota, Metazoa, Chordata, Mammalia, Artiodactyla, Delphinidae. The transcript is spliced from 3 exons.